This 1056-nucleotide ribosomal RNA is filed under the name Enterobacter ludwigii. Its description in RNAcentral is "bacterial SSU rRNA". It matches the Rfam family "Bacterial small subunit ribosomal RNA", at positions 420 to 1453 of the family's 1533-position model. Lineage: Bacteria; Pseudomonadati; Pseudomonadota; Gammaproteobacteria; Enterobacterales; Enterobacteriaceae. The record is from RNAcentral.
GGAUGUAAAAGUACUUUCCAGCGGGGAGGAAGGCGUUGAGGCUUAAUAACCCUCAGCCAAUGGACGUUACCCGCAGAAGAUAGCACCGGGCUAACCUCCGUGCCAGCAGCCGCCGGUAAUACGGGAGGGUGGCCAGCGUUAAUUCGGAAUUACUUGGGCGUAAAGCGCACGCAGGCGGUCUGUCAAGUCGGAUGUGAAAUUCCCCGGGCUCAACCCUGGGAACUGCAUUCGAAACUGGCAGGCUAGAGUCUUGUAGAGGGGGGUAGAAUUCCAGGUGUAGCGGUGAAAUGCGUAGAGAUCUGGAGGAAUACCGGUGGCGAAGGCGGCCCCCCUGGACAAAGACUGACGCUCAGGUGCGAAAGCGUGGGGAGCAAACAGGAUUAGAUACCCUGGUAGUCCACGCCGUAAACGAUGUCGACUUGGAGGUUGUGCCCUUUGAGGCGUGGCUUCCGGAGCUAACGCGUUAAGUCGACCGCCUGGGGAGUACGGCCGCAAGGUUAAAACUCAAAUGAAUUGACGGGGGCCCGCACAAGCGGUGGAGCAUGUGGUUUAAUUCGAUGCAACGCGAAGAACCUUACCUACUCUUGACAUCCAGAGAACUUAGCAGAGAUGCUUUGGUGCCUUCGGGAACUCUGAGACAGGUGCUGCAUGGCUGUCGUCAGCUCGUGUUGUGAAAUGUUGGGUUAAGUCCCGCAACGAGCGCAACCCUUAUCCUUUGUUGCCAGCGGUCCGGCCGGGAACUCAAAGGAGACUGCCAGUGAUAAACUGGAGGAAGGUGGGGAUGACGUCAAGUCAUCAUGGCCCUUACGAGUAGGGCUACACACGUGCUACAAUGGCGCAUACAAAGAGAAGCGACCUCGCGAGAGCAAGCGGACCUCAUAAAGUGCGUCGUAGUCCGGAUUGGAGUCUGCAACUCGACUCCAUGAAGUCGGAAUCGCUAGUAAUCGUGGAUCAGAAUGCCACGGUGAAUACGUUCCCGGGCCUUGUACACACCGCCCGUCACACCAUGGGAGUGGGUUGCAAAAGAAGUAGGUAGCUUAACCUUCGGGAGGGCGC